GGGAGCUUGCUCCCUGUUGUUAGCGGCGGACGGGUGAGUAACACGUGGGUAACCUGCCUGUAAGACUGGGAUAACUCCGGGAAACCGGGGCUAAUACCGGAUGGUUGUUUGAACCGCAUGGUUCAGACAUAAAAGGUGGCUUCGGCUACCACUUACAGAUGGACCCGCGGCGCAUUAGCUAGUUGGUGAGGUAACGGCUCACCAAGGCGACGAUGCGUAGCCGACCUGAGAGGGUGAUCGGCCACACUGGGACUGAGACACGGCCCAGACUCCUACGGGAGGCAGCAGUAGGGAAUCUUCCGCAAUGGACGAAAGUCUGACGGAGCAACGCCGCGUGAGUGAUGAAGGUUUUCGGAUCGUAAAGCUCUGUUGUUAGGGAAGAACAAGUGCCGUUCAAAUAGGGCGGCACCUUGACGGUACCUAACCAGAAAGCCACGGCUAACUACCUGCC
Molecule: ribosomal RNA, 451 nt
Filed under: Bacillus amyloliquefaciens
Lineage: Bacteria; Bacillati; Bacillota; Bacilli; Caryophanales; Bacillaceae
Description: bacterial SSU rRNA
Rfam family: Bacterial small subunit ribosomal RNA
Source: RNAcentral